CAGUGUACCCGCGGCAAGACGGAAAGACCCCGUGAACCUUUACUAUAGCUUGACACUGAACAUUGAGCCUUGAUGUGUAGGAUAGGUGGGAGGCUUUGAAGUGUGGACGCCAGUCUGCAUGGAGCCGACCUUGAAAUACCACCCUUUAAUGUUUGAUGUUCUAACGUUGGCCCCUUACCGGGGUUGCGGACAGUGUCUGGUGGGUAGUUUGACUGGGGCGGUCUCCUCCUAAAGAGUAACGGAGGAGCACGAAGG
This 255-nucleotide ribosomal RNA is filed under the name Escherichia coli. Its description in RNAcentral is "partial 23S ribosomal RNA". It matches the Rfam family "Bacterial large subunit ribosomal RNA", at positions 2062 to 2316 of the family's 2925-position model. Lineage: Bacteria; Pseudomonadati; Pseudomonadota; Gammaproteobacteria; Enterobacterales; Enterobacteriaceae. The record is from RNAcentral.